AUCACUCGGCUCGUGGAUCGAUGAAGACCGCAGCUAAAUGCGCGUCACAAUGUGAACUGCAGGACACAUGAACACCGAUAAGUUGAACGCAUAUUGCGCAUCGUGCGACACAGCUCGAUGUACACAUUUUUGAGUGCCCAUAUUUGACCCUCCAAGUCAAACUACGCCGGCCUAGCCGUGCGUGCAUAAUGAUGUCACUGGUUGUGGCAUUGAAAACGAUGCGUGCACCCCAGGGCUCAACUUACAGAUUGGACUCGGGACCGACAGCUCACCAAAGUAACCUAAUACGUUGAAGCGUGCAAGUCUGUUCGGCCCGGUCAGUCAUCGUGAGGCGAGUCCAUCGUGCACGCACACACUUCGAGUCGUGUGACAGCGACCGAAGAAACAUGCUCCUAGCAGCGGGAGUACAUGGGCCUCAAAUAAUGUGUGACUACCCCCUAAAUUUAAGCAU
Molecule: unclassified non-coding RNA, 451 nt
Filed under: Anopheles punctipennis
Lineage: Eukaryota; Metazoa; Arthropoda; Insecta; Diptera; Culicidae
Description: sequence contains 5.8S rRNA gene, ITS2, 28S rRNA gene
Rfam family: 5.8S ribosomal RNA (bases 1-139)
Source: RNAcentral